RNAcentral lists this non-coding RNA (29 nucleotides) under Homo sapiens (human). Lineage: Eukaryota; Metazoa; Chordata; Mammalia; Primates; Hominidae. The record is from RNAcentral.
UNGCCUCUUGAUUGAUGUGCUCUGUGCCC